Molecule: non-coding RNA, 109 nt
Organism: Acanthosepion pharaonis
Lineage: Eukaryota; Metazoa; Mollusca; Cephalopoda; Sepiida; Sepiidae
Source: the annotation of a GenBank genome assembly
AUGACUAUAUCAUGUUGAAACAUUUGGUUCUUGUAAGAUCACUGCAGUUAAGCAACAUUGAGCCUGGUCAGUACCUAGAUGGGUGACUGCUUGGGAAUACCAAGUGCUA